This is a long non-coding RNA of Mytilus trossulus (common blue mussel), 478 nucleotides long. RefSeq lists it as uncharacterized. The transcript has 3 exons. Lineage: Eukaryota; Metazoa; Mollusca; Bivalvia; Mytilida; Mytilidae. The record is from RefSeq and is a predicted model, not a curated record.
UACAAGUACUUUUAGAAGUAGGAGAAGCUAAUCAACAGGACAGAAUUCAUUUGGGUCAUUGCUGUCUAGAUUAUAUAGUGGAUUCAUAGAUUAUCGAAUUGAUUUAUGUGCAUAUGAGCACAGAGGAGCAGUAGUCAAUGAAUAAGUUUGUAACAAGAGCUUGUUACCAAAUGAAAGGAAAGGACAGUAUUGACAAGGAUUGAUAUCACUGGUGAACAUGUAUGUCAUUUAGGUGUGAAAGUCCUGCAAAACAGAACUGAUAUCAAAAUACCAUCCACAGUGAAUAUGGUGAAGAAUAACCAAUACAUGUACCAUGAAUACAGGACAUGGAAGACCUCACAAACUUGGGAGUUUUACAAAAAAUAGAACAUUUAAAUUUACAAAGAAGACAUUUAUUUUGACAUUCAUAGACUUGGAAAGUAAAGAAAUUAGAAUGUGAAUAAAAAUCCUUGGAAAUAAAAUUUUGAACUUUGAAGAA